AAGCAUAGUGAGAUAUGGGUCCAGCGCUAUAAGACCCUUAAGGUGACGCACCUUUAGCAUGCGCUUGCUAUCCUCACUUAAGUGCUUACCUUUUUUGAAGCACAAGGCACAAGUGGCAUAUGCCUAUUUAAAAUUAAUUUUUUUUAGAUCUUCUUGAAGGGUAUUAUGGCUUUUUUCCUUUUAGUUUAAAAGGUUUACUAUAAUCAACAUUUAUAGAUUCAUUAAAAAACUACAUGUCAGUCUUCUGGAGUGUGUCUUCUUUUUAAUUUGGUUGGCAGUUGCUAGAAUUUCAAACUUUUCUCCAAUCAGAAUGGCAUUUUUAACAUAACAGCAUAUGGAUGACUUUGUUUCCUUUGCAUUGGUUAUUGCACUAGUUUGUUAGCACAUUAAUUUAUUAAGUUACCGUUUUUAAAAAUUUUGCACCUUGAUCAAUAAGAUGAGCGCAUUUUUGGAGCUUUGUGCUUUACGCGGUGGAGAGACCUAUUGUUUUGAACCUGCCUUUUACUUUUGACUACCUUGCUUUUGGGAGAAAUUAUUGCUUUUUGGAAGAUAAAUUUAUGGGCUGAUGACAUUAGGCUUUGUCUUUAUCAGCAAUGUUGUUAAAUUACUCUUGCUGUGGCAUUUCCACAGACAAUGCCUAGAUUGAUUCUUUCACCCCUCAUUGGGAGCAACGUCAUCUAAUCUUGCCUAGGCCAGUUUAUGUGUUGUCAAUGGCUCAUUCUUUGUGUCUCCUUAGCACAGUGAUAAAGCUCAUUGUGUUAUAAUUCGCAAGAAGAUAAGUUCUCCUUUCUUAAUAUUGUAGGCAUCAUUCUAGAUGAGUGUUGCCACAUUUAAUGUGAUUAUGAUGUUAAAAAUAUUAUUGGAUAAGACCACUGCAAUUACCUUAUAUUUUGUAAUUUUUAAAUUACUUUCUUUUAUUGGGUCUGACAUAUACUUUAAUCAUCUGAAUUGCUAGUUUAAUUUGACCAAAUCCUUCUUAAAAAUAAAAAGGAAAAUAUUGAUUCUUUAGUUUCUAUCAUGUAGUUAUAAUUCCCUAAUACAAGAAUUUAAUUAAAAUCCUAAUGUUCUGCCCAAAAUUUUUUUCUUUAAUUUGCUUAAGCCCUAAAUUUUUAUCACUAAAAUUUUGAAUUACAGAUUUUAUUUGAUCUAAUACUGAACAAAAGCAAUUAAAUUUCACAUAAGAUUCAUUAAAUAAUAUUAUUCAAAGAUAUUACUAGGUUUAACAAACAAACAAUAAGCUUCGAGUUUUAAACAUGGAAAACCCGCCACUGAUUAAAAGCUAAGCUGAUUUGAGUUCCAAAUCAAUAUAUUACCCAAGUUCUGUCAUUUUUUGAUGCUUGCGUAGAGGACAUGAAUUAACUUUUUUCCUGUGAUGUGAAUCGCUACUAAUUACAUUUUAUGCUUCCAGACUAUGUUCCAUAAGAGGGAGCCAUAGGGGGAAAGUGAAUGAUGUAAGACCUAACAUCAUGGAACUGUUGUCCAUUUGGUCAACUUUGAAAUUUGAAUUCUUGGAUUGCUUUCUUGGUUUCUUUCAAAUUUAUGCUC
Molecule: unclassified non-coding RNA, 1545 nt
Filed under: Hevea brasiliensis (rubber tree)
Lineage: Eukaryota; Viridiplantae; Streptophyta; Magnoliopsida; Malpighiales; Euphorbiaceae
Source: RNAcentral